GAGAGUUUGAUUCUGGCUCAGGACGAACGCUGGCGGCGUGCCUAACACAUGCAAGUCGAGCGAAUGAAGUUCCUUCGGGAAUGGAUUUAGCGGCGGACGGGUGAGUAACACGUGGGCAACCUGCCUCAUAGAGGGGAAUAGCCUUCCGAAAGGGAGAUUAAUACCGCAUAAGAUUGUAGUACCGCAUGGUACAGCAAUUAAAGGAGCAAUCCGCUAUGAGAUGGGCCCGCGGCGCAUUAGCUAGUUGGUGAGGUAACGGCUCACCAAGGCGACGAUGCGUAGCCGACCUGAGAGGGUGAUCGGCCACAUUGGGACUGAGACACGGCCCAGACUCCUACGGGAGGCAGCAGUGGGGAAUAUUGCACAAUGGGGGAAACCCUGAUGCAGCAACGCCGCGUGAGUGAUGACGGCCUUCGGGUUGUAAAGCUCUGUCUCUCAGGGACGAUAAUGACGGUACCUGAGGAGGAAGCCACG
RNAcentral lists this ribosomal RNA (474 nucleotides) under uncultured swine feces bacterium FOTU3. RNAcentral describes it as "bacterial SSU rRNA". It matches the Rfam family "Bacterial small subunit ribosomal RNA", at positions 7 to 495 of the family's 1533-position model. The record is from RNAcentral.